UACAGAGGGUGCGAGCGUUAAUCGGAAUUACUGGGCGUAAAGCGUGUGUAGACGGUUUCGUAAGUCGGGUGUGAAAUCCCCGGGCUCAACCUGGGAAUUGCAUUCGAAACUGCGAGGCUAGGGUACGGAAGAGGGAAGCGGAAUUUCUGGUGUAGCGGUGAAAUGCGUAGAUAUCAGAAGGAACAUCAGUGGCGAAAGCGGCUUCCUGGUCCAGUACCGACGUUCAGGCACGAAAGCGUGGGGAGCAAACAGG
Molecule: ribosomal RNA, 253 nt
Filed under: uncultured bacterium
Lineage: Bacteria
Description: partial 16S ribosomal RNA
Rfam family: Bacterial small subunit ribosomal RNA
Source: RNAcentral